RNAcentral lists this long non-coding RNA (292 nucleotides) under Volvox carteri. RNAcentral describes it as "long non-coding RNA (VCAR_LNC004161)". The record is from RNAcentral. Lineage: Eukaryota; Viridiplantae; Chlorophyta; Chlorophyceae; Chlamydomonadales; Volvocaceae.
AAGUCUGGGCCACCUUUGCUCUGUGGGGGCGGUGGUGGCCGUGGUGUGGAGGUGGAUCCUAUCUCCACUGCAGCUGGUGUAGGGAUUUGGGCUGCUACCGCAGCCUGUAUCCCUGACACCUGCAGCUCCAUCACUGGUUCCCGGGAUCCCAGGUGGGUAAUGGGUAUGUAUGUUUGUAUGUUUGUAUGUUUGUAUGUUUGUAUGUAUGUAUGUAUGUAUGUAUGUAUGUAUGUAUGUAUGUAUGUAUGUAUGUAUGUAUGUAUGUAUGUAUGUAUGUAUGUAUGUAUGUAUG